GUGGGAAAUUUCCUGAGCUGCUGGUCCUUUGCAGAGACUCUCAGGUUCUCAGGAGCAGCUCUGAGAGCACAUGGAAGGAGAUUUAUUCCAGCUCAAGAAACAGCAAACAAGCCAGCUGAAAAAUAAAAAUGGAGUUUUACAAUGUAAUGAAUUGCAAGAAUAUCAAGAGAAGGGGAAAAGAAUAAAAGGCUGUGCUCCAUUUUGUCACAUCUGGCAUGGUGAUAAAUCCAGUUGUGCAGUGAUCUCUAUGCACCAUUACAGAGAUGGAAUUUGCUGACUGAGAGCACCAAACACUCGAGGGGUUACAGAUCUGAGCUGCAUGACAUCUUUGAUUUGGGUACAUCAAACUCAGCAGGUGGCAAUAUAAACUUCACCAGAUGACACAAGGAUUCUCACUUGGAAGAGCCAUUUUUGAGGGGAAAAAUAAAGUUAACUUUUAAAAAUACCCCUAUCUGAUAUGAUCAGAGAGAAGAACACAAGAAAGCUGAAGUCAGCAAUUGCACAAAUACCUUAAGGCAUUUGCUGCAUGCAUUUGUCUCAGAAACUUAACUGCUCUAAUUUCCCACUGGAGUCAGUGCAUGAAGGAGUUUUUGAUCAGAUGGUCUUUUGUGUUCAGAUCCUGUGCUUGUCUUCAUCCAUCUCAGUGAUGGAUCUCAGCCCUUCAGAUCCCAGUGAUAACAAGGUCUCAGAGUUUUAAAAUCUAGAGUAAUUAUUCAUUUAUUAUUACUUCCUAUUCCACCUUUGCCAACAAAGACACCUUUCAGGAAGGAACAUCUGAGAUGAGCCACGCAGUGGUUGGAGUGACCAUAGCACUGAUCACCAGUGUCAUCAAGAACCU
This is a long non-coding RNA of Passer domesticus (house sparrow), 838 nucleotides long. RefSeq lists it as uncharacterized. NCBI's taxonomy places the organism in Eukaryota, Metazoa, Chordata, Aves, Passeriformes, Passeridae. The record is from RefSeq and is a predicted model, not a curated record. The transcript is spliced from 4 exons.